GCCUAAAGAGAAGCUUGCGGCUGAUUAGCUUGUUGGUAGGGUAAUGGCCUACCAAGGCGACGAUCAGUAUCUGGUUUGAGAGGACGAUCAGACACACUGGAACUGAGACACGGUCCAGACUCCUACGGGAGGCAGCAGUAGGGAAUUUUCCGCAAUGGGCGAAAGCCUGACGGAGCAAUACCGCGUGAGGGAUGACUGCCUAUGGGUUGUAAACCUCUUUUUUCAGGGAGGAAUAAAUGACGUGUACCUGAAGAAUAAGCAUCGGCUAACUCCGUGCCAGCAGCCGCGGUAAGACGGAGGAUGCAAGUGUUAUCCGGAAUCACUGGGCGUAAAGCGUCUGUAGGUGGCUCGACAAGUCAACUGUUAAAUCUUGAAGCUCAACUUCAAAAUCGCAGUCGAAACUAUCGGACUAGAGUAUAGUAGAGGUAAAGGGAAUUUCCAGUGGAGCGGUGAAAUGCGUAGAGAUUG
Molecule: ribosomal RNA, 468 nt
Filed under: uncultured diatom
Lineage: Eukaryota; Bacillariophyta
Description: SSU rRNA
Rfam family: Bacterial small subunit ribosomal RNA
Source: RNAcentral